This 89-nucleotide transfer RNA is filed under the name Candidatus Methanofastidiosia archaeon. Its description in RNAcentral is "tRNA-Ser". It matches the Rfam family "tRNA". Rfam says of the family: Transfer RNA (tRNA) molecules are approximately 80 nucleotides in length. Their secondary structure includes four short double-helical elements and three loops (D, anti-codon, and T loops). The record is from RNAcentral. Lineage: Archaea; Methanobacteriati; Methanobacteriota; Candidatus Methanofastidiosia.
GGAGAGGUGCCGGAGUGGUUGAUCGGGGCGGUCUCGAAAACCGUUGUGGUCAAUUUUGAUCACCGAGGGUUCGAAUCCCUCCCUCUCCG